Molecule: long non-coding RNA, 211 nt
Filed under: Malus domestica (apple)
Lineage: Eukaryota; Viridiplantae; Streptophyta; Magnoliopsida; Rosales; Rosaceae
Description: long non-coding RNA (MDOM_LNC013755)
Source: RNAcentral
UACCACAAAAACUUAUUUUAUACUUAAUAAAAGUAUAAUAUUAACUCCAAGUGUUUGUUUAAUCUAUCAUUUUGACGCAAUAUGCAUUCUACAAAACUUUUUUCAAAGGUCCAACCGUCAAACUUAUUUGUACACAUUCCAAGAUCGCAUACAUAAAAAAUCGUAAAAAACAAACAUUCAGAGAUUACGUAAUGGAACAAAAGUUUUCGAC